CCUGGAGGUGGCGGAGUGACUCAACGCCGGUGCCCUCCCUGCCCCCAUGCCCGAGUGCUCAGCCCUCCCUUGCCGGGGCUCACCUAAUCCCCGCAGUGGGAGUCGGGGGGCAUCCGCGCAGGCCCAGGGCUAGGGUUGCAGCACGGUCACUUCACACUCGGCAGGCAGCAUGUGCAGCUGAGGCCCCUCUCCGGGCUGCAGACUCCCUCGAGGCGGGCAGCGAGGUCAGCCUGGCAGCCGCUGCCUCUCUCCAGCCCAGAUCUGGCCUCAGGCAGCCGGUUCCCGGACCCGAGGAAGUGAUGGCGGAACAGGAAGCCAGUGGGUUGCAGGUCCUGCUGCAAACACUCCAGAGUCUGAACCACCUUUAAGCAGUCGCUCUUGGCCCUCAAUACCAAAAUUAGACAACUGACCUCUUAGCACGAGGGUCUUCUCUUCACCUCAGUCUGACAUCACUGAAUGCCACAGGGUCAUAAACUUGGAAGGAACCUGAGAAAUCAUCUCUUCUUAUUCACUUAGUUGAAGCAUGAGGAAAACAAGUAAAGGCCACAGAAGGUAACUGCUUUAUCUAAAGUCAAUGGAAAAAUUGCAUUAGAACUAGGUUUACCGCCUCCAAGUCUGAUCUUUUGUCUGUUCUCUACCAUGUCAUUUGUAAGAAAUCUAUAAAAGAAGCUUGGAAAAAUCUCUGUAAUAUUUUGCAGUGUAAAUGGUUGGUUCAGAUCCUUGUUUGUUUAUUUGUUUUUUAACUGCCAUGCAUUCCAAAUUCAGUUUUUUAGAAAUGAAAUUUUCAGUGCUUUUUAUUGAUCUGCUUUUGAGAUUGGUUUGCAUUUCAGUUACUAUUGUCAUGUAGCAAAUUAUCCCAGUCUCAGUGGCUUAAACAUUUAUUUUGCUCACAGUUUGGAAAGGACUCAGCAGAGUAGCUCUUGCUUGGGGUCUCUUGUGUGUUUAAUUGGAAGUUGACCAGGGCCGCAAUUAUCUGAAGGUUCAACUCAUCUGGGCAUAUAAGAUUUCUUGCUCUUAUGAUUCAAAGCAGAUGCUGAGUGAUCCCAGCUGAGCUGAGAACUUAAUCGAGGCUGUUUACUAUCUACCAGUCACCAUGUGGGUCCUUCCACAUUGUCUGGGAUUUCUUAGGGUGGGCAGUAAAUUCACACGGUAGGUCAAGGCUCCAGAUGCGAAGAUCC
Molecule: long non-coding RNA, 1178 nt
Filed under: Sus scrofa (pig)
Lineage: Eukaryota; Metazoa; Chordata; Mammalia; Artiodactyla; Suidae
Description: lncRNA (ENSSSCG00070030449.1)
Source: RNAcentral